AAAUUAAUUAUUUUUUGUUUUGAAAACAGGAAUAAAGGGUUUUCCUUUUAAUUUU
RNAcentral lists this transfer RNA (55 nucleotides) under Metastrongylus salmi. Its description in RNAcentral is "tRNA-Ser". The record is from RNAcentral. Lineage: Eukaryota; Metazoa; Nematoda; Chromadorea; Rhabditida; Metastrongylidae.